AGUGAACGCUGGCGGUAGGCCUAACACAUGCAAGUCGAACAGCAGCACAGUAAGAGCUUGCCCUUACGGGUGGCGAGUGGCGGACGGGUGAGGAAUACAUCGGAAUCUACUUUUUCGUGGGGGAUAACGUAGGGAAACUUACGCUAAUACCGCAUACGACCUACGGGUGAAAGCAGGGGAUCUUCGGACCUUGCGCGAUUGAAUGAGCCGAUGUCGGAUUAGCUAGUUGGCGGGGUAAAGGCCCACCAAGGCGACGAUCCGUAGCUGGUCUGAGAGGAUGAUCAGCCACACUGGAACUGAGACACGGUCCAGACUCCUACGGGAGGCAGCAGUGGGGAAUAUUGGACAAUGGGCGCAAGCCUGAUCCAGCCAUACCGCGUGGGUGAAGAAGGCCUUCGGGUUGUAAAGCCCUUUUGUUGGGAAAGAAAAGCAGCAGGUUAAUACCCCGCUGUUCUGACGGUACCCAAAGAAUAAGCACCGGCUAACUUCGUG
Molecule: ribosomal RNA, 492 nt
Filed under: uncultured bacterium
Lineage: Bacteria
Description: partial 16S ribosomal RNA
Rfam family: Bacterial small subunit ribosomal RNA
Source: RNAcentral